AUGCGUAGGGGGCGAGCGUUGUCCGGAAUGAUUGGGCGUAAAGGGCGCGUAGGCGGCCCGGUAAGUCUGGAGUGAAAGUCCUGUUUUUAAGAUGGGAAUUGCUUUGGAUACUGUCGGGCUUGAGUGCAGGAGAGGUAAGUGGAAUUCCCAGUGUAGCGGUGAAAUGCGUAGAGAUUGGGAGGAACACCAGUGGCGAAGGCGACUUACUGGACUGUAACUGACGCUGAGGCGCGAAAGUGUGGGGAGCAAACAGGAUUAGAUACCCUGGUAGUCCACACUGUAAACGAUGAAUGCUAGGUGUAGGGGGUAUCGACCCCUUCUGUGCCGCGGUCAACACAAUAAGCAUUCCGCCUGGGGAGUACGGCCGCAAGGUUGAAACUCAAAUGAAUUGACGGG
Molecule: ribosomal RNA, 396 nt
Filed under: uncultured bacterium
Lineage: Bacteria
Description: partial 16S ribosomal RNA
Rfam family: Bacterial small subunit ribosomal RNA
Source: RNAcentral